GAUGAACGCUGGCGGCGUGCCUAAUACAUGCAAGUCGAGCGAACAGAUGAGGAGCUUGCUCCUCUGACGUUAGCGGCGGACGGGUGAGUAACACGUGGAUAACCUACCUAUAAGACUGGGAUAACUUCGGGAAACCGGAGCUAAUACCGGAUAAUAUAUUGAACCGCAUGGUUCAAUAGUGAAAGACGGUUUUGCUGUCACUUAUAGAUGGAUCCGCGCCGCAUUAGCUAGUUGGUAAGGUAACGGCUUACCAAGGCAACGAUGCGUAGCCGACCUGAGAGGAUGAUCAGCCACACUGGAACUGAGACACGGUCCAGACUCCUACGGGAGGCAGCAGUAGGGAAUCUUCCGCAAUGGGCGAAAGCCUGACGGAGCAACACCGCGUGAGUGAUGAAGGUCUUCGGAUCGUAAAACUCUGUUAUUAGGGAAGAACAAAUGUGUAAGUAACUAUGCACGUCUUGACGGUACCUAAUCAGAAAGCCACGGCUAACUACGUG
This 497-nucleotide ribosomal RNA is filed under the name uncultured bacterium. RNAcentral describes it as "partial 16S ribosomal RNA". It matches the Rfam family "Bacterial small subunit ribosomal RNA", at positions 28 to 507 of the family's 1533-position model. The record is from RNAcentral.